RNAcentral lists this ribosomal RNA (429 nucleotides) under Chloroflexota bacterium. RNAcentral describes it as "Chloroflexi bacterium partial 16S ribosomal RNA". It matches the Rfam family "Bacterial small subunit ribosomal RNA", at positions 355 to 776 of the family's 1533-position model. Lineage: Bacteria; Bacillati; Chloroflexota. The record is from RNAcentral.
UGGGGAAUAUUGCACAAUGGGCGCAAGCCUGAUGCAGCCAUGCCGCGUGUGUGAAGAAGGCCUUCGGGUUGUAAAGCACUUUCAGCGGGGAGGAAGGCGUUAAGGUUAAUAACCUUGGCGAUUGACGUUACCCGCAGAAGAAGCACCGGCUAACUCCGUGCCAGCAGCCGCGGUAAUACGGAGGGUGCAAGCGUUAAUCGGAAUUACUGGGCGUAAAGCGCACGCAGGCGGUCUGUCAAGUCGGAUGUGAAAUCCCCGGGCUCAACCUGGGAACUGCAUUCGAAACUGGCAGGCUAGAGUCUUGUAGAGGGGGGUAGAAUUCCAGGUGUAGCGGUGAAAUGCGUAGAAAUCUGGAAGAAUACCGGUGGCGAAGGCGGCCCCCUGGACAAAGACUGACGCUCAGGUGCGAAAGCGUGGGGAGCAAACAGG